This is a long non-coding RNA of Marmota flaviventris (yellow-bellied marmot), 744 nucleotides long. RefSeq lists it as uncharacterized. NCBI's taxonomy places the organism in Eukaryota, Metazoa, Chordata, Mammalia, Rodentia, Sciuridae. The record is from RefSeq and is a predicted model, not a curated record.
CUGCAUCCCCGUGGGUUCCGUGCUGCGCUGCUCCCCGCGUCUCUCCUUUUUAGAUGCCGUUACCCUAACCCAGCUUGUCCCUUCCCACCCCCAGGGCUAGCAAGACCAGUUGGUGUUCCAGCUUAGGAUGUGUUUUUAGAGUACUCUGAGAACUAUAGUGCUGCAGUGGCCCAGCUUGUGCUAUGAGAUGGUUCUUAUGGACCAUUAUCAGGUCCUGAGGGACACUGGGCAGGAGAGCUUUGGCCAGGUGAUAAUAGCCCGCCAUCUCUUCACUGGACCAGAGGUGGUGGUGAAAGAAGCUAUCAGUCAGAGAAUCGCCACUUGCCUUCAACAUGUUGUUGCAUGCUGUGCUUCUGCCGGCUGGUUUUCAGAGGAAAAGUGGCUCCUGUUGAAGAAGGCCAGAGAUAUCCUAGGUUCUGAAACAGUGGCUCCAGUGAGGAUGCAGAGAUGAGACAUACAAACUAAUGAACAGCCAGAAGACCCAGAAGACCCCAAGUUCUGAGGAUCCUGACAUCGUGGUGCCAGCCUUUGGUCAGGAGUGAGGUGUGCCAAGUGGCUCAGGCUUCUCCUUGCAGAUUCCAGCCAGGAGUGCAUCUGGAUUCACCAGGACUCUCCUCUGCCUCCACCUGCCAGAGACAUCAGACUCUUUCCCUGGGACACUUCCUCUUUCCCUGCUCUUGUCUGUCCUUCUGGGAUAGCAGAGAUAGUUUUUAAUAAAUUUAUUUCUCACAAACUGUAUAAUAA